Maniola jurtina (meadow brown) is the source of this 254-nucleotide long non-coding RNA. RefSeq lists it as uncharacterized. NCBI's taxonomy places the organism in Eukaryota, Metazoa, Arthropoda, Insecta, Lepidoptera, Nymphalidae. The transcript has 3 exons. The record is from RefSeq and is a predicted model, not a curated record.
CACAUCUAUGUUUCUUAUUACUUAAUGUAGAAAAAAAUUGUAUAAUAUCAACAACUUCAGUUUAUUACAAAACUUGAUGCUUGAACAGGCUUGAACAUAAAGUUUAAUAACGAUUGCAACAUAUUUAAGACCUCUUGUCAUUGCAAAAAAAAUUAAAAAUAUUCAAUUUUUUCAAAUGAGAACAAAAAUAUUUACUCUAAAAUAAAACUUAACACCUAAGCAAUAAAUCUAAAUUGACUGUAUUGCGUCUUUUU